Long non-coding RNA from Carassius auratus (goldfish), 2130 nucleotides. RefSeq lists it as uncharacterized. The record is from RefSeq and is a predicted model, not a curated record. The transcript has 4 exons. NCBI's taxonomy places the organism in Eukaryota, Metazoa, Chordata, Actinopteri, Cypriniformes, Cyprinidae.
UGAACAUCUGAUAUGUCUGUUUCGUGCUGUUUCUAGGAUUUAAAGGCUGUGGCUGCUCAGCAGGAGGAGGUUAAGCGGGAAGUGGACAGCUCAUCUAUGACGCUGCUGGAGAUAGAGCAGCACCUGCUGGGGAGUGUGUGUGAACAUGGACAGAGACUGGCUCUGCUGCAGGUGUUGGCCAUCAUGUGUGAGGGUCUUCCAUACACAGCUGCUCCGCAAGCACACUCAGGUAUGAUAUAGAAGAAAUCAUGCAUUCAAGGUGAUUCAAACAUGGAUUGGUUCCCUCUCUUCCUUCAAAAUCUUUUAAGCUGUUUAAUCCUUUUGCAUUUUCUCUUUUUCAACUGAGGUUUUAAUAGAGAAACUUGGGUCGUCUAAAAAUAGAGCACAUCAUCUCCUGGCCAGAUGUGUUCCAUUUAACUCGCAACAAAGAAUAUCUUCUCUCUGACUGUUAUUUAGGUUGGUGGGGUUCAGUGUCCAUGCUGCAGAGGGCAUGUGUUAGUGUGUAAAUGGAGAGUUACACACUCAAUAUGGGAAUGGGGUUUGUGGCCACCCUUCUUUCUGUAAAUGCUGAGAGAGCACCAAGAGGCACCCAGACCCAGUCAUCCAAGAACUGUCAUCUGAUCUGAGGGCCACUAUUGCCACACAUGGGGCGUAUCGCCCUAAAACUGACCCCAAAACAGCCACCAAGCACAGUACUGCCCACAGUCCUGCCCACAGUCCUGCUCAACCUGCAGUUCGCUGUUCAAAAACUCUAGACCCCAGGUCUCUUCACCUCCAAUUCCAGGAUCAUUAGAAAAUAACAGCUAGGUGAGUUUGAUCCGAGUUGGAGCUAAACUCUGAAGCAGACUGGACCUCCAGGGCAAGAUUUGAGGAAUCCUGUAGUACAUCUUUUGUCUGAGUAGACCUCUGACCCAGACAUCCCCACUUGAGCCGUAGCUAUGCAUUCACUGACCCACUCUGUUAGAGAUGGAGACAAGGAGGCAUUGCAGAACAAGGACAAACCACUAACACUCUUUCUGGAAAACCAGGAACAUGAAGACUCCUUUGUGUAUCUGUCUGCCAUUCAAGAUUCUGCAGGGACAGGUUCUCCCUAGAGACAUGCCUCAAAGGGGGCGAGGUUUUAAAGAGAGCCAGCAGGGCCAUGGGUGAGCACCAGUCACUGUCUGUAGUCUUUUUUAUAUUUCUUUCUUUCCGUAUUUCUUUCACAAUUAUCUAUUUCAGGACCUGUUUGUCAGAUCUGGGCAAUGGCGUAUCCCCAGCACAAGUGUGCGGUUAUUCAUUGUGUCUGGAGAUCAUUCAGUCUGGGAGUGAGACAUGUCGUCUUGGCCCGGCUCCUUAACAUCAGACCAGCUCUGAAAAAGCCCAACAGCUGCUACAGUCCGCUGAAACCACACAAUGAGUCUCACAGCUCUCUGUCACAUUCAUAGCUUCUUCACACACAGCAGGGGGCAUCACACACUUCACCCACACACUUGAGCUUAAUUUACAUUUUCAACCCAUGAGUAUUAUCUAAUGGGACACUGAUUUCAAUCCCAAAAUCCUUGAUUUUGUAAUAACUAAAUAUCUAACCACAACAUUUCAUAACAUACACAUCCAGUCCGUAAUUAAAGAAAAUCAUUUUCCUGCAUAAGUGUACCUCUGGUUUCUAAUUAAACAUGUCGCUUAAUAAGGGGCUUGGACAGAUGGCCACAGUUAACAAGAAGCACAGGAUCAAAGAAGUGUGUUUCAUUUUUUCCUUGCCCCUUCUUCCUCCAAAUCAGACACACUUCUUUUUUCUUGUAGAGAUAGUCCACAUUAGCCAUUAAAGCUCUUUUGAUCUGUUUAGAGGAUUGGUCAGCCUAAGAAGUAGACAUUCAUGUCUGAAUAGGUCCUGGCACAUGGGUUCUAGAAGAUUUUAUAGCGUUUGAAUGAUAUCUCAAACAGAGCCAGAAAAAUCAGCGGUUGGAUAGCAAGACCCUCCUUUUCAUAUAAGCCAAAAAAUCCAAGUUUAGUGACUUUGGUCAUGCUGUAGGAACGUGCUUUGGACUUUCUCAGACUUUCACACUGAGAUGGAGAGAUUGGAAGAGAGUGGUGACUUCAGCUUUGUGUUUGAAGUGUGUUCAGACUGGAGCUCUCAUCCAGUCCACUCUA